GUUCCUUUAAAGAUGGUAUAGUGUGUUUAGAAGUUGUUUUGGCUAAGCAUCCAACUUUCUGUUUACAAUGUUUGAAAAAUGGCUUUGAAUUGCUCUGCAGUAUGUUCAGGUAUCAGAAAAUUAAUUACAGCUUCCAAUCUUUUCAGUGGCAUGUUUAAAGAGUCAUACAGUAGUUGAGCGUCACAAUUUAUUUACAUGUAUCUGUACAAAAUGUAAUUGGUUAGACUUGAUUAUGUAUACCUGUGGCAAUAGACAUUCAGGAGAAUGAACAUUUACUAAAUGUUUCCGACAGAAAUGUAUUGUGUAGAUCCAAUAUGCUGUCGGAUAGAUUGGAAUAGUACAGGAGUGUGUGUGCGCUCUAUUCAUAUCUUCAGCAUGCAGUUCCAGAUACAGCCCUGCCAUUAGUUGAAGGCUGCCAAUCCAUAGUUUCAAAAAAAGUACUCACUUCCUGAGAUCAGUAUUCAAAUAUUUGUUAAAAAAAAAAAAAAAAAAGUAGUAGUAGCCACAUAGCUAGAAUAACAGACAGCUGGAGACUUCAACAGUCCUUUAUUAGGUGUCUACAGAAAACAGAAACAGUGAGAACUACCGGGGUGUGUUCAGAACACAAGGUUUCACAGCGUUGGGAAACUUCUCUAUAGAGCCGUUUAUGGGUGUAUUAAGAGGGACCACAAAACUACAACUUCCCAUUACUUACUAUUUCAUUUUAGGCUGUGUGUGUGUGUUAGGAUUCCCUACUGGCCUUAUGCCCCCGUGUGCACUUGUCCUGCUCACUCAGUCCCCUUCAUGGAUGUGAAAGCAUUGGAUUAAUCAUGGACUUGAGUUUUCACCAUGUCAAAAUAAUAUCUGACAUGAUUUUCUUCAUACCAGUCCAUUCCUUUUAAAUCCACAAGGUGGGAUGAAGGUACACACUUCAGGGAGAGGAAGAGGUAUCAGAGUGUUGAUGUUGGGAGGGUGGUGGGGGGGUUGAUACGGUAGGGCUGUAGGAGGGGUGAGUUGGAGAUGGGGGGUGUCAAGUUGAGAGUGGAGAAGGGUGGAGUAGAUUGGAGUGUAGAGGUAAGUCUGUAGGAGGGUUGAAUGAGUAGAGGAGCUGGAGGAGCGUAGAGGUAAGUCUGUAGGAGGGUUGAAUGGAGUAGAGUGGAGCGUAGAGGUAGGUCUGAAUGGAGUAGAGUGGAGCGUAGAGGUAAGUCUGUAGGAGGGUUGAAUGGAGUAGAGUGGAGCGUAGAGGUAAGUCUGUAGGAGGGUUGAAUGGAGUAGAGUGGAGCGUAGAGGUAGGUCUGAAUGGAGUAGAUGUGAAGGGGGGGGGGGGGUUUGGCAGCAGCAGAGAAGUGUUUUCUGUAAACAGUGAACGGCGACAACUAGAAUAGGCCUAGUUGUGUAGUAGGAGUCUUUGACAGUGGUAAGGCAACUGGUCAGACUACACAGGACGUGAGGAAACCCAACAGGAAAUGAUGACAUCAAACAGGACAUGGCGAAAUGACAAGCGCUACAGUGGGUUUUCCACUUUAGAAACAGGCUUCCGUCACAAUAAUCAUAAUAUAAAGAAACAACCAUGCACAACACGCAUAUGGAGAGCAAAAAUAACCACUGGGAUGCAAACCUAAACAAAAUAACAGUUCUUCCAUUUUAGAGGGAAAUACCUCAUACCGAUCCCUCUCUGAAUACUUUAAAGAGUAAGAGCAUGACUGCCCGAUCAUUUUCAGGCUUGACUGAGUAACUGGGUUAGAGCUGUUAGAGUCAUGGGGUCUGGAUGGGACUUGGUGAGGCAGAGUCACAGUGAGGUUAUUACUGAGUCAUUACUUACUGACCAAGGCUUCUGCGCUGAGGUGGGGGUAUGGGGGCUGCAUAGUGUAGUAAACUGGUGUUCAAACACUGAAUGGACCAGUCUCUGCAGGGGUUAUUUCUGCAGGACCAGGCCACACACAGAUGCACGAACACGCACACACACAGAAAAACAGA
Non-coding RNA from Oncorhynchus mykiss (rainbow trout), 1956 nucleotides. The record is from RefSeq and is a predicted model, not a curated record. Lineage: Eukaryota; Metazoa; Chordata; Actinopteri; Salmoniformes; Salmonidae.